AGAGGAUGGAAUGCUUCACCAGGAGACACAAGAAUAAUUUCCUUGACCUGGGAGUUAAGACUGCCACCCAGCCACCUUGUGCUCUCCAUGCUGCUGAUUCAACAGGCAAAUAAGGAAGUUAUGGUGUGGGCUACAGUGAUUGAUCUGACUAACAAGAGGGAAAUUGCUCCACCAUGGGGGUGAGGGAGAGUACAUCUGGAAUACAGAAGUUCCCUUAGGACACCCUUAGUGUUCCCACACAUUGCGAUUAAGGCCAGUGGAAAACUACAAUAACUCAGUUCAGGCGGAACAACUCAUGGGGCAGAAUCUUCAAGGAAUGAAGAUUUGAGUCCUUCUACCAGGUUUUGCAGAGUGCCUCCAGAAAUAAAAGUGUUACAAAAGAAUCACUUCAGAAAACCUACACUUAGAGAGUCCAUUUGAAAAUUGCCCUAUUUGAAAUGAAGUGGAGAUCAGUAAUAACAAGGACUUCCCCAUAUAACCCAAGGUCCUACUGGGUUAGUGUGAUCUUCUGCGGAAGGCUGCAGCUGCUGUCAGGAGGCCCUCUGUCUACACUCCUCUCUGGAGAAGUGUAAGUGUUUUGUCAGGUAAAUACUUCGUCACUCUCCAGCGUAGCAGUGAGAAUCAUCCCUCCUAUCUCUAGCAUCAGAGUCCCUCCUAUUGUUUCUAACCACCCACCCCCCGUAUCCUUGUAAAUAAUCUCUUUAUUAAAUUGUCUGCAAAUUACUUCAUUUUAAUGUGCUGUCCAUUUCCUUUUGGGACCCUGGCUGAUAUUGAUACUGAUGUUGGGUAAUUACUGAUUAUUGAUACUGAUAGUUGACACUGAUACCGAUAAUAAUUAUUAUUAAUAGCUAAUAUCCAUAAUUUGAUACUGAUUAUCAGAAAAGGAUACUGACACUCUAGGAUAUUAGCAGGAUCAGUAAAUACUGACACUGAUACUGAUAUUAAUACUGGCUGCUACUGCUAGGUAAUUACUAGGUCUGUCUAUCAAUCUAUCCAUCUAUCUAGGAUGUUCUCACUCUUGUAAAUAUCUCUAUAAAGCCUUGUCAAACAGAAAAAGGAGACAAUGUGAAAGGGUCUUGUGUACAUUUAGUCUCUAUUCAUCUAUUACAAGUUUCCUUUCUAAACCAAAUAGUUCUAUAUUGUUUUGGAGACUAUCUAACCCUCAUUAAUUAGCUGUUUUAUUUCUAUUUCUUUAUUGCUCAUAUAUAACAAUAGGAAAACUUGGUUAGUCAGUUAAUUAACAAAUAUUUAGUAAUGUAUAUUAUUAUAUGACUUGAGACAUGAUAAACAUGUUCUAAAAGUGUGGAACACAACAUUUGAUAAGAAAGGCAGAAUCUCCAUCUUCAAAGAGAUUGCAUUAUAGUGGAAAGAGCCAGACAAUAUAUAAAUAUAUAAACCAAGAAAUAAGAUCAUUAAGGUACUGAUAAGUGUUAUGAAGAAGAUGAAACGGGGUGAUUUUGACAGACAUUGACUGUAACAGGACCAGUUGUUUUAGAGAGCAUCAGAGCAGCUCUUCAUGAGGAGGAGCAUCAGAGAAGCUCUUCAUGAGGAGGAGCCUCAUGAAGGUGAAACCUAAAUGAUGAGAAGCCAGCUAUGUAAGAGGAGCAUUUGACACAGAAGGAACCAUAAGUACAAAUGUAAUGAGAUGAGAAAUUUCUUUGGUAUGUUGAAGACAUCAGGACAGGUGAGUAGCAUGCACCUGUGUCCCAGCUACACCAGAGGCUGAGGCAGGAGGAUUGUGUGAGCCCAGGAGCUUGAGGAUGCAGUGAGUUAUGACCAUAGCACUGCACUCCAUCCUUUUGUGAUGUCUUUUUUUUUUUAAGAAACGUCACUGUGUUCCGGGUGACAGAGCAAGAUGACAUUUCUGAAAAAAAAAUGGGGGGACAUCACAAAAGACCAUGGAUAAAACUAAGUAAACCAGAGAAACAAGAAGGAAGAGAGAGAGAUGAAUUGGGUGCAUUGGCAAAGCCAGAUAAUGUUAGAAUGACCAGGCCAUGGGAAGAGUCAGGUUCAAAACAUACUUAGAAGCCACUGGAGACUUUUAAAUGGGCAUAGGAGGAUCUGAUUUGUAGUUUAGAAUGAUUUCUCUGGCUGCUGCGUGUAGAACAGAUCCUAUGUAAGGGAGCAAAUGUGGAGGCAGAAAAGCUACUGCAGAGGUGAUAACAUUAGCUAAAAGAUCACAGUAUCUGGGGAAAGGGUGGUUGCGGUAGAGAGAGUAAAAAGUAGUUGGUUUCAGAAUACAUUUUAAUGGAAAUGGAAUAGCAGACUGAUGAUUGGAUAAUGGGAAUUGAGGGAAAUCAAGGAAUCCAGAAUGACUUGUAAAUUUUUGUUCUAAGAAAUUGAGUGGAUAAUGAUGGCAUUUACUUAAAUAGCAAAUACUUGUGGAGGUAAAUUCUGGAUAUGUGGGGCAACCAAGGGUUUUGUUGAUGCCAUGUAAACUUUGGCAUGCCAAUUAGAUACGAAGAGAUACUGAGUGGAAAGCUGGAUACUCAGGGGACCACAGUCUUCUGUUUCCUGGAUUUCAGGUCCCUUUUAAACUGAAGCAUAGUGAGAACAAGUGUAAAGCACAACACAGACGGAAGAUUGCACCUUAGCUCACUGCCCCGUGCACCCCGGUUACACCGUCUAAGAAAACACUCUGGAUUCAAUCCUUGGAAAAGUAGUUUGUCUCCAUGAGGUCAUACAGCUGCUUGAGGUUGCUCGGAGAGUAAGAAGCAGAAUGAGAACUAGAACAGAAGCUCACUUUGGCCUGAAGGCUCAUGUGCUGAGCAUCUUCCCUUGUCUGUCUCCACCCCUAGCCUGGUGCCCAGCAUGUAGAAGACCUUCAUCCUAGAUGCAAUGGGAUUAAACUUGGAGAAAAUGGGAUUAAACUUGGACAAACACUACCUAUUUGGACUUGUGAUGAUGGCUUUCAAACUUCUUAAAGCAAUGAAGUAUUUUUUCCAGAAGAAACCUUACACAAGAAGCCCAGCACACUGAGUCAAGCAUAUGUAGGUGGAAGAUAUCUGGUUGAGACCAAGUAGAGAUAAACCUGUAGAUUCAACUGUGCCACCACAGUGAAUUCUAAGAAUCCACUGACUGUGAUCUGUAAGCUCCUACUCCACAGGAGGUCAGGGCACACAGCUUGAAACCGGAAGGCAGAAGAGUGACAGGGAAGGGUCAUGGACUCUGAAAUUAGAGCUAUCUGUGUUUUAAUACUAGUUCCAAUAGGCACAUGGUCUUGGAUAAAUGGUUUAAAUUAUCUGAGUCUCAAUUUCUUUCUCUGCAAAAAGGGAUGAUUAGUACAUAUGUAAUAGGGUUUUUAUAGAAAAUUGUAUAACUUGUUAAACACACAUGUACUAAGUGCUUGGUGCCCAGUAUGCACUGAAUAAAUGCUAGCUCCUUGCCUUUCAUCUCUAUGACCCUUCCCAAAUCUCUCAGCCCCAUAUUGCUUCAUGUAGUGUGUGUAUAUUUGGGAAAAUUUGUGUGCAUAUUUACAGAUGGGAUCCUACUCUUCUAUUGACAGACUGUCUUUUCAGAUGUGCCUUACUUUCAUUGCAUUGGUUUUUCAACUGAAAGUGAACAUAAAGGUUUUAAGCAUGCCUAGGUCUUAUCUUUUUGGUCAAAUAUCUAACACCCUCAAUAACAGUUGUAAAUCAUUCUUUUGUAAUUUGAUCAUUCAUUUUUAUAAAGUAAAACACAACUGCCCACUGUAAAAAUAGACUUCAUUUGCUCUUUUCUUCCAGUGCAGCAAAUGACAGACACUUUAAGAACACACAUUUAACUUCAGCAAACAAAUCAUGUAUAUUUUAGACAUAACUGUCAAGUAUAGAAAUGAUACCAUCCAACUUACCAAACUAUCACAUAAGAAUGCCCAAUAGCAGACAUUAGGAUGGGGCAAAACUGAAAGAAGGAUUGACUUCAUCAAACCCUUGAUGACAUACAAAAUGGAAACCAUUCAAGUUCAACUGAAGAAAACGAUAUCCCACAAGAUCUAGGGGUAAAAAGCAGACAAAGUUUAGGAAUGAAUUUAAACUACUGACUUACGUGUUGUCAGGAGUCUAUUUCUAUUCCUCAAUUUUACUCCUUUUUGUACAACUGUGUGCAUUCUCUCUCUGACUCUCUCUUCCUCCCUCCCAACACCCCCCACCCUCUUCUUGUUGCUGUUUCUCUCUAUUUCUUCAGAUCAAAGGGUUGAUCUCUUCCAAAUGUACAUAUUACAGAUCCACACUCUUAGAAAAACAACAGAAUCUCUCUAGUGCUUAAUUUAAUUUGUCCAUCUAAAAGAUAUUACUUGGCCCAAUUUGACCAAGCACCAUCUACUGGACCAAAUAAUGGUGGCCAGAGAAGCAUGGUCACAAUGGGGAAUGGGAAUAAGAUGGGGAUCAUAUGGGGACUAAGAAUGGGCAAGAACAUCUCCCAGAGUGGUAAGAGAAACAAUCUAAUGGGCAUAUAUUCCCAGUGUCCUCAAAUACUCCUCUACCCUAAAUUGCUUGCUCUGCUCUUGGGCCUUUGGAUGUGCUGACCUGAGUAGUGGUAACAAGUUCAGAAUUGUAGGGAAAGGGCUAUGAGUUUAUAUUUUAAGGGCAGAGAGUGGCAUUUAUGCAGUGGAAACACAUGGAAGAUGAGUAGGAUUGUGAAGGAUAAACUUGGGAAAAGAACAAUGACCUGAAGAGUACUAAUAAAUGCAGGGAUGGGUGACCAGAAAGAAAGGAUAGAUAGGAGGAAAAUCUUAGAGUAAAACUGGCAAAAGUUCACGGCCAGUUUAGUUAAUGGAAUCAAGGACAGUGAAAACGCAAUGAUAACUUCAGUGUUCUGGUUCUGAUGACCAAAGAAGGUCAUCAUUGUGAUGGAUAUUUUCUCUUAUUUCAUAACCUCUGCUCUAUGCUCUGUGUGAUUCCUCUCCUUCCAUUCAACUUGCCUUGCAUUUUCCGGAGUCUACUCCUUGGCUAAAUAGGGUCCUUCUUUCUCAGUAGCCCUUACUACCGAAUUAAAUCAUGGUGCCAGGGCUCAUUCUGCUUUGUUUCUGGAAACCUGCCAAGCAUGCUCCUGCCUUGGGGGCUUGCACUGAUUCGUUGCUCCAUAUUGAAAUGUUAUUUGCAUGGUCACCUGUGGCCCUGAUAUGGUUUGGCUGUGUCCCCA
Molecule: long non-coding RNA, 5121 nt
Filed under: Homo sapiens (human)
Lineage: Eukaryota; Metazoa; Chordata; Mammalia; Primates; Hominidae
Description: non-protein coding lnc-FLI1-6:2
Source: RNAcentral